ACGCUGAGACAAUGGGCUCCUGGAUGCACAGUGUGGCCACUGGACAGUCUCUUUGGAUACAGCUAUCGAGGAAAAACAUCAGGGAGUGAGCAUGGCCAUUUCAUCUCCGCCCCCAGUGGAAAGCAGUCCAGCAGCAGGAUGCAGGGUGUCUUAGUGGAGUCCCUCAUUACUCUGCCCCUUGCUCAGGCAUAAAUCAUUCUCUAAUUACAGAUCAGGCAUAAAUCGUUCUGGAACCAUGGUGCUCACUAAAUGUUAUUGUGUUAUUGAGACAUAAAUCCUAUGUCAGCUCGAUGAAAUGUCUGCGGCCAUUGGGUUAAACAAGUCAAGGCAGCUACUUAAUGAUCUCCAAACACUCGAUUAUUAAAGUUCAGAGAAUGUUCCAGUGGAAAACAUGUUAAAGUGGACUUUAAACAACUGUUUCUCACAUUUGUUUGAAAUGAAUGAGGUAACAUGUAGCCUAUUUUCUACUAGUGAGCAACUCACAUCCAUGAUGAAGCCAACACUGUUAUCAGAAAAGAGACAAAAAGAAAUUAAAUCCUUGAUCAUAUUAUUGAGCUGGAUGAGCCAGUCCUGACACACACUUCCAAGCAUGUAAGUCAAAAAAAUGUAGUUACUCUUGUAGCCAGUUUGAUUUGGGUUUUCUGUUCUUUGCAUCUGAAAGCAUCUUAAGUGUUUCACUUGCCUAAAGCUUUAUUGAAAUGAAAAAAUAGAAUGUCCUUUUUUUUC
This 726-nucleotide long non-coding RNA is filed under the name Vulpes vulpes (red fox). RNAcentral describes it as "lncRNA (ENSVVUG00000025180.1)". The record is from RNAcentral. Lineage: Eukaryota; Metazoa; Chordata; Mammalia; Carnivora; Canidae.